This 253-nucleotide ribosomal RNA is filed under the name uncultured bacterium. RNAcentral's name for it is "partial 16S ribosomal RNA". It matches the Rfam family "Bacterial small subunit ribosomal RNA", at positions 524 to 776 of the family's 1533-position model. The record is from RNAcentral.
UACAGAGGUCUCAAGCGUUGUUCGGAAUCAUUGGGCGUAAAGCGCGUGUAGGCGGCCCGGUAAGUCCGCUGUGAAAGUCGGGGGCUCAACCCUCGGAUGCCGGUGGAUACUGUCGGGCUCGAGUACGGAAGAGGCGAGUGGAAUUCCUGGUGUAGCGGUGAAAUGCGCAGAUAUCAGGAGGAACACCAAUUGCGAAGGCAGCUCGCUGGGACGUUACUGACGCUGAGACGCGAAAGCGUGGGGAGCAAACAGG